Molecule: ribosomal RNA, 465 nt
Filed under: uncultured bacterium
Lineage: Bacteria
Description: bacterial SSU rRNA
Rfam family: Bacterial small subunit ribosomal RNA
Source: RNAcentral
CUACGGGAGGCAGCAGUGGGGAAUAUUGGACAAUGGGCGAAAGCCUGAUCCAGCGACGCCGCGUGUGUGAAGAAGGCCUGCGGGUUGUAAAGCACUUUUAGUGGGGAUGAAAAGCUCGGGACCAAUACCCCCGGGUCUUGACCUAACCUACAGAAAAAGCACCGGCUAACUCUGUGCCAGCAGCCGCGGUAAUACAGAGGGUGCGAGCGUUAAUCGGAAUUACUGGGCGUAAAGCGCGCGUAGGCGGUUUCGUAAGUCGGAUGUGAAAUCCCCGGGCUCAACCUGGGAAUUGCAUUCGAGACUGCGAGGCUAGGGUGCGGAAGAGGGAAGUGGAAUUUCCGGUGUAGCGGUGAAAUGCGUAGAUAUCGGAAGGAACAUCAGUGGCGAAAGCGACUUCCUGGUCCAGCACCGACGCUCAGGCGCGAAAGCGUGGGGAGCAAACAGGAUUAGAUACCCCAGUAGUCC